AUGCUUAAUGUUGGUUAAACGGUUAAUUAUUAACAUCCCUAGUGUUUAUAGAAUCGAUACAGUAUCACAAAACAUGUCACGAUGCUCAGUAUUUUCUAUAUUUCCUUACACCCCCUAACUUUCCCGAACAAUUCCUUUUAAGAGUAACAUAAAAUGCAAUGCUCUGAAAACGUUUUGAUCUUUGCUUGUGCGUGACUGAUAAUGACAUGACAUGAUAACACCUCUGCUUUUCAUAUGUUUCCGACCCUACAAUUUGCAAAUAAUUGAAGGGUUGGUUCAAUUCAUCACAAACCAGGACAAUUCCGAUCCUGUAAGGAUGAAACACACUGAUAUGAUUAUCAAAAAGACACACAAGGAAUAUCAGUGAUGAGCAGUGCAGCUGGAGACAAUAAACUGGUAGAAGAACCAAUUACCAGCAGGUGACAAGCUGGUGGUUCGGGGCUUUCAACAUGUCAUUAUCUGCACAUCGACAUUUCCAAGAGCCCUGACAGGCCAUUUCUGAGGCUGCCACGAUUGACUCCAGGACAAAGAUCCAGCACACAUCGAACUGACAGCAUGAAAGGCUCGAUAAUUUUUGCCCCAGAAGACACUGAUACAUUUUACCGGAUUGCUUUGUCUCACGCGACCUGAUGUAAUGUGACAGGAAAGUGUGCUAUAUGAAACAAGAAAUGCGUUUGUAAUACAAAUGAGAUGUCUUUCUGUCUCUUUCGGGAUGUCUGGUGUGAUUUUUUUUUUUUAAAAGAACUGAUGAAAUAAAGUCAACAUGAAACAUCUACUUGAGGAUUAGUACCUUCUAUUCCUCUCUUAGUGAUCUACACAUCAUAUUAAAGGAGAGGUCCUCGGUGGUUUCAUCUGUCUCAUUAUCGCAUUACAUUCACAACUGACCCCUAUGACUCCAUUUACACCUGGUAUUAAAGGAAUAGUUUGGGUGAUUUGAAGUGCGGUUGUAUGAGGUACUUAUCUUUAGUAAGUGUAUUACCUAGAGUA
Sebastes umbrosus (honeycomb rockfish) is the source of this 987-nucleotide long non-coding RNA. RefSeq lists it as uncharacterized. NCBI's taxonomy places the organism in Eukaryota, Metazoa, Chordata, Actinopteri, Perciformes, Sebastidae. The transcript has 4 exons. The record is from RefSeq and is a predicted model, not a curated record.